GACGAACGCUGGCGGCGUGCUUAACACAUGCGAGUCGAACGGAAAGGCCUUUUCGGAGGUACUCGAGUGGCGAACGGGUGAGUAACACGUGGGUGAUCUGCCCUGCACUCUGGGAUAAGCCUGGGAAACUGGGUCUAAUACCGGAUAGGACCGCACUUUAGUGUGUGUGGUGGAAAGUUGUUUCGGUGUAGGAUGAGCCCGCGGCCUAUCAGCUUGUUGGUGGGGUAAUGGCCUACCAAGGCGGCGACGGGUAGCCGGACUGAGAGGUUGGUCGGCCACAUUGGGACUGAGAUACGGCCCAGACUCCUACGGGAGGCAGCAGUGGGGAAUAUUGCACAAUGGGCGCAAGCCUGAUGCAGCGACGCCGCGUGGGGGAUGACGGCCUUCGGGUUGUAAACUCCUUUCGCCAGGGACGAAGCGUUUUGUGACGGUACCUGGAGAAGAAGCACCGGCUAACUACGUG
Molecule: ribosomal RNA, 463 nt
Filed under: uncultured bacterium
Lineage: Bacteria
Description: partial 16S ribosomal RNA
Rfam family: Bacterial small subunit ribosomal RNA
Source: RNAcentral